RNAcentral lists this long non-coding RNA (530 nucleotides) under Homo sapiens (human). RNAcentral's name for it is "DARS1 antisense RNA 1". Lineage: Eukaryota; Metazoa; Chordata; Mammalia; Primates; Hominidae. The record is from RNAcentral.
AAAAGGAUAAUACCAAGGAAAACUAUGGGUGGGGGCAGUGAAUGGCCAGCAUGCCUAUAAUCCCAGCACUUGAAGCCAGGAGUUCGAGACCAGCCUGGGAAACAAAGCAAGACCCUGUGUCUAAAAAAAUUUUUUUAAAAAUAAGCUGGGCAUGGUGGCACGUGCCUAUAGUCCCAGCUACUCAGCUACUCGGGAGACCAAGACAUGGAAUAAACUUGACAAGUGCUAAAGAUGCUCUUUGAUUUUUGUGUGGCAUGAGACCUCAGGCUGAAACUUCUCAUCUGAGCCAUUGAAGGGAGCCUCUCAUCUCUCCACCGAGAGGGGAGACCAGAAUGGCUCCUUCAGGCACAUUCUGUUGGGCUUCCCUCUACCUCCCCACUCUGCUGCUUCCCCGCUCUUUUUGAAUUUCUCCCUGUUGAGGAGAGGGAAGACCAGCUAGGAGAGGAUCUGGAUUGAGAAACUUGCCAUGCUUUUCUCUCAGAUGUUCUCUUUUCUCUGAAGACAGCAGGACCUCAUCCAAAGCUCUGUUU